UUGCCAGCCUCCAGCGUGCUUGGGCCUGCAGUGACACUGUGCAUUCCUACAGUGCCUGCGCGAACAGGUUUGAAAUGGUUUGAGGCCUUGCUCUGCUCCGUUACAGAGCAAGGUAAUAGAAAUUCAGACAGUG
Molecule: small nucleolar RNA, 133 nt
Filed under: Dasypus novemcinctus (nine-banded armadillo)
Lineage: Eukaryota; Metazoa; Chordata; Mammalia; Cingulata; Dasypodidae
Description: Small nucleolar RNA SNORA9 (ENSDNOG00000040373.1)
Rfam family: Small nucleolar RNA SNORA9
About the family: ACA9 is a member of the H/ACA class of snoRNA that guide the sites of modification of uridines to pseudouridines.
Source: RNAcentral